GGGCUCGUAGCUCAGUCUGGGAGAGCGCCUGGCUUUUAACCAGGCGGUCGCGGGUUCAACUCCCGUCGGGCCCG
Transfer RNA from Methanosphaera stadtmanae DSM 3091, 74 nucleotides. It matches the Rfam family "tRNA". Rfam says of the family: Transfer RNA (tRNA) molecules are approximately 80 nucleotides in length. Their secondary structure includes four short double-helical elements and three loops (D, anti-codon, and T loops). The record is from Rfam. Lineage: Archaea; Methanobacteriati; Methanobacteriota; Methanobacteria; Methanobacteriales; Methanobacteriaceae.